Non-coding RNA from Potamilus streckersoni, 73 nucleotides. Lineage: Eukaryota; Metazoa; Mollusca; Bivalvia; Unionida; Unionidae. The record is from the annotation of a GenBank genome assembly.
GAUCCGGUGGCCUAGUGGUUAGAGCGUCUGAUUCGGAUGCGGGAGGUCCCGGUUUCGAACCCAUGCCGAGUCA